UAAGAUCAACGGUCCACGUUACAUCUGCCCCUUUAAACCUAACCAAACCCCUAACCCUAAUCAUUUUACACUCCCGCCGCCCCAGAACACUCUCGUCUCUCAUCUUUUAAGAACCCUAGUCCUCCACCUCACCAAAAUUCUCUCCUAAUCCCGUUUCUAAUGGGAUUUUCUUCCCAUUCACUUACCAUUUCGAUAUGUUUCCACUAUUGGGUGAUAAUCUACGGUAUUACCUAGUACUUGCCUAAACAUGGCAAGUACUCUUACUCUGAUUUUGUCCUAUUUAACUUUCGUCUCUUGGAUUUGGAGGACUUUGAGUUCAAACGCGUUAUUUUGUACCGAUUCUCUUGUAUCUUGAUAAUUCGUACUUAACCCUAAAGGUUAGGGUUUCAGAUUCUCUAUUCACUCUAUUACCUGUGAAUCUGCCUAUAUUUGUCGAUUUCUUUUCCUUACUCAAAUUAGGGUUUCAGAUCGUUUUCAAUCGAACUAAAUCUUGCUCAAUUCUAUGUUUCUUUUUGAAUAAUCUCCUGUCUAUGUCUACUUUUAUGCUAAUAUGUGAUUCUUGCAUUUAUUUUCUGCCAAUUUUAUGGUUUACCUAAAUUUAUGGUUUCAAACCCUUUUACUUGAACUAAAUCCAGUUCAAUUCUGUGGUUUUUUGUAUAAUUCCGUGUCUAUGUUCAUUAUAUGCAUUAUGUGAUUCUUUGCCUUAUUUUCUACUAAUUUUGCGUAUCUUCACCUAAAAUUUAGGGUUUUAAUUUUACUGAUUUAAGUACUUGCCUUUUGGUAUUUAAAUUAGCUAUGCUUAUGUUCUUAUUUUGGCACUAUUUAAACUCCUCCCCACUCUCCUUUGAAAACCAGAGGUUCUGAGUUCGAAAAUAUUUCACUACUAUACAAAAGUUGUGUGCUUCUGCUCUCUCUUGAAUAAUUUUGCUCUGUGUUUUGAUUCCUGGACGGCUGAAAGCCAAGGUCAGAAAUCCCCAAGUUUUUGCUUCUGUCUAGUGAUAUCCACUGCAUUAUUGGAUUCUUUUAUUCUCUGUUUCAUCUCAACUGGUGAGUUAAUAGACCCUCUGCCAUUUCAUUAUGAUUGUUCACUCAAUGUGUUACUUCAACUAAUCUAUGUUAGCCUAAGUUAUUACCUUGUGGUUUGAAACAUGCUUAAGUUUAUGUUGAGUUUAUUAAUCAGAUUUUGCUUAGAACUAUAUGCUAUUGAUGACUAUAUAUUAAAGUCAAGUUUGUUAUAAACCUGUUUGUGCACCUGCUGUCAUACUUGUUCAUGUGAACUAGUUAACCAUGUAUAAGUGCAUUGACGGAUUUAUAAGUCUGUUUGUUGAACCUGCUAUAACGUGACCUGUUUGAUCUUGUUUUCACCCUAUUUUGAUACCUUUAAUAACUGUCUUAACUAGCUUUUAACAUGUCCUAAUCUAUCGCUUAUCAAUGUGAUCCUUUCUAUGACACCAAUGUUUGUACUUAAUCUAAUCUGGAUAUUCUGUUAUCACUAUGAAUCUGCUUAUGAACUUUCCUUGUUAUCAUGUGAUUAAUUCCUAAAACUUGACCAAGUUUGCCUAAGUUCAAGCAUGUCUACUACUUGUUUGUGUAUAUGUGUUCUGUACCUUCUGUGAAACUCUUUGACUAUCUCAUAUUCUUUUACUAUCUGGCCUUUCUGAAUCCUCAUUCUUAGCUGGCUGAAAGCCAAGGAUGUUUAGGUUCUGUCCUUGACCUCCCUAGUGUGAGCACUGCCCGUGGUCCAUGUGAGACCUUUGUGAACUCUGACACACUAGGAUUUGGUCCCUAGUCUCCCCUAAACUGUUUCUGAUCAAUUUCUCUAGUGUGAGCUAUGAUGACCCAAAAGGUCAUCACUUGUGUUGCAAGUGAAUUCAGUGUUCCGAGGCCUAAAAACCUCCUUUUUCCUCACCUUGAUUUACGUGCAUAGUCCGGACCUAUAUCCGGAAAGCCUUCUAUGUGAAAAUAUGAGAGAUAGAAAUUUUAGAGUUAAAAUUUGAUUAUGGUUGACUUUGGUCAACAUUUUGAGCAAACGGACCCUGAUCCGUAUUUUGACAAUCCCGGGAGAUCCGCAGUAAAAUAUGAGACUUGGGCGUAUGCCCGGAAAUGAAUUCCGAGGUCCCAAGCCUUAGAAAUCAAUUUUAGAAAGAAAUCGUUUUACUGAAUUAUCUAAGAAAUAAAGAAAAGAAUCAAUGUUUAAAAUCAUUGUUAUCGGGCCCGUAUUUUGGUUCCAGAGCUCGGUACAAAUUUGUUAUCGUACUUUAAAGAUGACUGUGAAAUUUGGUGAAAAACGGAGUUUAUUUGACGUGAGUUGGACUUCCGGUUGAAGAGUUAUGCACUUUGAGAGUUCUUGAUGAAAAUUUUGAGUUUUGAGGUUUAAUUCAUGAUUUUACAUGUUAUUUUGAUGAUGCGAUCGCACGAGUAGGUUCAUAUGAUGUCUUUGAGUUAGUAUGCACACUUGGUUUGGAGUUUCGAGGGCUCGGGUGAGUUUCGGGUAGGUUCCGGGAUGUCUUAGGCCUAAAACAUAGUUGUUGCAGGUUCAGAGAAUGGAAGGCCACUGAACAAACCAGUGCGGUCCACACAAAAUAGAGUGCUGCCGCGGAGAGGCCUGUGCGGCCGCACUGGAUUUGAACCUCGAUUUGAGGUCCGAUUUCAAAACAAAUUAUAUAUUUGGGUUCGUGGGGGAAUGGGUAAUCAGAUUUUGGUUCGAACUUCGGGUUUUGACCAUGUGGGUCCGGGGCGAUUUUUGACUUUUGGGUAAAACUUUGGAAAACUCAUUUUCAUGCAUUGGAGUUGAUUCAUUUAGCGUUUAUUGAUGUAAUUAAGUAAAUUGUGGUUAGAUUCUAGCGGGUUGGAAGUGGAACCAAGGGGUAAAGCGGUAGUUGAAGCUUGAUUGUGCUCGUGUCUAUGAGGUAAAUGUUUGGUCUAACCUUAGCUUGAAGGAUUAAGAGCUGUGUCUUAUUUGCUACAUGUUAAUUGUAGAGUAUGACAUAUAGGCAUGGUAAUGAGUAUCUAUACGUUGGUGUCAAGCAUGCCCGUGAGUCUUGUAUUAUAAUUGUUUUGACUCCGUUGUGGUUUAUUGUGCUUCAUAUGUUAUUAUCACCAUUGUUCCCUUACCGGGAUAUUUGUUUGAUAUUAAUGAUCCCUUGUCGGGAUGUUUGUUUUGAUAGUAUUGUUCCCUUGCUGGGAUGUUGUUGAAAUAUCAUUGUUCCCUUGCCGGGAAGUUGUUAUAUUGCUCUUGUUCCCUUGCCGCGAUUCCUUGUGACUAUUGUUGGCUUGUAAAUGGGAGCGGGUGGUACGCCUACCACAAGAUAUAAUGAAAUGGAAGCGGGUGGUAUGCCUACCACAAGAUAUAAUGAAAUGGGAGCGGGUGGUACACCUACCACAAGAUAUAAUGAAAUGGGAGCGGGUGGUACUCCUACCAUGAGAUAAAUAAAAUGGGAGUGGGUGGCACGGCUGCCACGAGAUAUAGGUAAUGGGAGCGGGUGGCACGCCUGCCACGAGAUACAGGAAAUGGGAUCGGGUUGCACGCCUGCAACAAGACGUGAAGAGAAAGUGAAAAUUGCCUUUCUUUUCCUUAUUCUUAUUAGUGGUUGGAUUUUGAUUCCUUUGUAAUUCUCUUGAUAUUCUGUUUUUACUUGUUAUUCCCCUGAAGCAUGUUUCCCCUUCCCAUCUUUACUUGUUUAUUCCUGCAUUACUUUCCGCUGUAUAUUAUAUAACUACACAGGUUUAUUUGGUAGUCUGGUCCUAGCCUCGUCACUACUUCGCCGAGGGUAGGCUAGGCACUUACCAGCACAUGGGGCCGGUUGUGCUGAUACUAUAGUCUAUACUAUGUGCAGAUAUCAGAGUAGCUCUUGGACCGUAGUUUGGAGGCUACCUUCAGCCCAUGCGGAGAUCCAAGGUAGACCUGCAGGCAUCCGCAGGCCCUGACGUCUCCUCUAUAUUUUAUUUCCUAUUUCAUCUUUUUUGCUUCAGAAACAAUGUGUCUUUUAUUCUCGGACCUUGUAUUUAGCAGUCUUAGAACGUCGGUGACAUUGUGACACUAGGUUUUGGGUGAUUAUGGCUUAAGUAGUUGUAAUAGCUACUGAAUCAGAUAUUUUAUUAUUUUUCUUCCUCUUAAAUAAAUAUUCUUCU
Molecule: long non-coding RNA, 4131 nt
Filed under: Nicotiana tabacum (common tobacco)
Lineage: Eukaryota; Viridiplantae; Streptophyta; Magnoliopsida; Solanales; Solanaceae
Description: long non-coding RNA (NTAB_LNC012839)
Source: RNAcentral